AUGAUUUGCCAGUCGCAUUCCCCCAAUUUGGUUUUUCUGUGUGAAACUAGGCAAAAGGCGGAAAAGAUGAGGAGGUUUUGGGGUCAUCUCGGCCUCAAGGGGUUUUGUGGAGUGGAUAGUGAAGGCAUGAGUGGUGGGCUGGCUCUGUACUGGCAUGAGUCGUAUGUAGUGAAGAUUCUUGAUAAAACAGAUCGAUAUAUUGAUGCUCAUGUACAGGUAGACCAGAAUGCAGAAAAGUGGAGGGUCACUUGCGUAUAUGGAGAGCCGAGGGUUGAGAAUAGACAUAUUAUGUGGGCAACAAUGCAGAACCUUAAAACCGUGAGUGACUUACCUUGGUUAGUGCUGGGUGAUUUUAAUAAGGCUAUGUGGGAUUUUGAACAUAUGUCGGCAACUCCGAGAGCUGAAUCUCAAAUGGUUGCUUUUCGGGACUGUUUGGAAGUAUGUGGUCUGGUGGAUCUCGGAUUCGUAGGGGUGCCUUUCACCUACGACAACAAACGAGCUGCUGCAAACAAUGUUCAGGUUUGACUUGAUCGAGCGGUGGCUACAAAUAUGUGGAGAAACCUGUUUGCUUUCUCUGUUGUCUCUCAUAUUACUUCACCAUGUUCAGAUCAUAUAAUGCUUUUGCUCAAGGCCUCGGCCGACCCAGGGCUGACGGGUGCAAAACCAAGGAGGUAUGAGUUAUUCUGGGAGACAGAUGGUACUUUGCCAGAGGUGAUUAAGGAAGCAUGGGAUGCGGUGGGGGUGUACGCAACCUUGCCCAGCUGCGUGAUGCCCUGUCAAAGACCACGAUCUCGCUCGGCACUUGGGUAG
This 810-nucleotide ribosomal RNA is filed under the name Triticum aestivum (bread wheat). RNAcentral's name for it is "partial small subunit ribosomal RNA". Lineage: Eukaryota; Viridiplantae; Streptophyta; Magnoliopsida; Poales; Poaceae. The record is from RNAcentral.